RNAcentral lists this long non-coding RNA (935 nucleotides) under Equus caballus (horse). RNAcentral describes it as "lncRNA (ENSECAG00000048136.1)". Lineage: Eukaryota; Metazoa; Chordata; Mammalia; Perissodactyla; Equidae. The record is from RNAcentral.
GUAGAAGCAGCUGAGUUUGAAUCCGGGGGGAGAGGAAAAAGUUCCCUUCAGGUGUCGGGGGACAGGGAGGGGGGCACUGGGAGACUGUGGGGACGUGGCCCGCGGGACGACAGGCCGCCGGAGGGAGAAAGCUCAACUUAUUUCCUGAUUCUACCCGUUUGAGAUUGUGCUUUUGACUGGUAAAGUCACCAACAAAUAUCUGUUACUGUUUUUCAAAUAACAUAAUAAUAUGAAAGAUUUUCUGGCAGGAAAAGAGGAAUAAUUUCUUUAACUACCGCAAAUGAAUAUGUACAGCUCAUCUGUUUGCACAGGGGCCUGAAGAAUAUAAAGCUGAGAAAGCAGGUAGCCACUGGAGCUGUUGACAACCAUCUUUUGAGCACAAUGAGAGCCAGCCUUUGAAUGAAGUUGACACUGUAGAAGGUAGAGUGGAGAGACUGAAAGAAACUGAAUGCUUGGUAACAUUCUUGAGCCACUGGAUCAAGCGCUGCCUGAAGCCUGCUACUUCUUUUCCUUUAUGUAUAUUCCUCUAAAAAUUAUUGUUUAAGUUUAUAUCAGUUGUCUUUUAAUUGUGAUUCCCAGUUCUUGUUAUAUUCUAUUUAUUAGUCAGGUAUAGUAUUACAAAUAUCUUUAAUUUUUCUUGCCUUAUUGAACUAACUAGAAUCUCCAAUACAGUGUUGAAUAGAAAUGAUAGUAUUGGACAUCCUUGUCUCAUUUUCAGUAUCAGGGAGAGAGCUUUCAAUAGUUCGCCAUUACAGUUGCUGUAAAUUUUGGGGUUUUUUGGUAAAUACUCAUUCAUCAAUUUAGUGAAAUUCCCUUUUAUUCCUUGUUGCCAAGAGUUUAUAUCAUGAGUGAGUAUUGAAUUUUAUCUGUUGGGGAAGCAGCCGUCACUGGACCUGCUGCCCCUCCUGGAUUGCCCAAUCAGCGCUCUAGGCCUG